This 253-nucleotide ribosomal RNA is filed under the name uncultured bacterium. RNAcentral describes it as "partial 16S ribosomal RNA". It matches the Rfam family "Bacterial small subunit ribosomal RNA", at positions 524 to 776 of the family's 1533-position model. The record is from RNAcentral.
UACGUAGGGUGCAAGCGUUGUCCGGAAUUAUUGGGCGUAAAGAGCUCGUAGGCGGUCUGUUGCGUCGGCUGUGAAAACCUGAGGCUCAACCUCAGGCCUGCAGUCGAUACGGGCGGACUUGAGUACUGCAGGGGAGACUGGAAUUCCUGGUGUAGUGGUGGAAUGCGUAGAGAUCCGGAGGAACACCAGCGGCGAAGGCGGCAUCCUGGACUGGUCCUGACACUCAGGAGCGAAAGCGUGGGGAGCGAUCCGG